Molecule: ribosomal RNA, 497 nt
Filed under: uncultured bacterium
Lineage: Bacteria
Description: partial 16S ribosomal RNA
Rfam family: Bacterial small subunit ribosomal RNA
Source: RNAcentral
GAUGAACGCUGGCGGCGUGCCUAAUACAUGCAAGUCGAGCGAACAGACGAGGAGCUUGCUCCUUUGACGUUAGCGGCGGACGGGUGAGUAACACGUAGGUAACCUACCUAUAAGACUGGGAUAACUUCGGGAAACCGGAGCUAAUACCGGAUAAUAUUUCGAACCGCAUGGUUCGAUAGUGAAAGAUGGCUUUGCUAUCACUUAUAGAUGGACCUGCGCCGUAUUAGCUAGUUGGUAAGGUAACGGCUUACCAAGGCAACGAUACGUAGCCGACCUGAGAGGGUGAUCGGCCACACUGGAACUGAGACACGGUCAAGACUCCUACGGGAGGCAGCAGUAGGGAAUCUUCCGCAAUGGGCGAAAGCCUGACGGAGCAACGCCGCGUGAGUGAUGAAGGUCUUCGGAUCGUAAAACUCUGUUAUUAGGGAAGAACAAACGUGUAAGUAACUGUGCACGUCUUGACGGUACCUAAUCAGAAAGCCACGGCUAACUACGUG